This 1070-nucleotide long non-coding RNA is filed under the name Bos taurus (domestic cattle). RNAcentral's name for it is "long non-coding RNA NONBTAT007375". Lineage: Eukaryota; Metazoa; Chordata; Mammalia; Artiodactyla; Bovidae. The record is from RNAcentral.
CCAGGCGUAUACGCUUCUCAGUUAAGAGUACCCCAGCUCACUAAAUCAUGAGGGACACUGGGGGCUGAGAGUGGUUUGGGCUGGUUUUUUUUUUUGUUUUUUUUUUUCUCUUAAACUGGUGGCCAACAAAUGGCUGAGACAUGUUCGGUGCUUUACCUUUCUGCCCACAAAAAACUGGAGAUUUUGGCAUACCACUAAUUACAUCCCCCAGCCACAUCCAAUGCAACUACCUUUAAAGGAAGACCAGUGGCCAUUCUCAAAAAGGGUUUAAAAAAUCAGAAGAUUAAGAAGACUCUAGGAUUUGGAAGCUUGUGUUGUCUUUACCAGUAAUCAUUGUUUAAUCUCCAAGAGGCAGCCUUAUCUUAGCAAUGGACAGCUUAUUGGCUCCUCCAUAACUGAUCAUAAGCUGUUACUUUAAAUCAGUAUUUGGGAAACCCAGGCAUUUAUGCAAUGGAUAUGAAUGGAAAUAUAAAAAUACAUACCAGCCUGUCUCAAUAAAUUAUUAUAUCUCUAUAAUCCUUGAGGAAAGCACUUUGGCUUUUACCUAGAAAGGAUUUCAGAUCUGCUUUAUGGGCUCCCGCUGUCUUCAGUACCUGAUAAAACUUUAACCAGGGACGCAUUAAACAUGGCACAGCAGCUUCUGCCCAGGCUCCUGAGUUCCUGCUGGCAGCAUCUAUCAACACAAGAGCUAGGAUGCUUCCUGCAGUGGUACCAGCUUCCCCAAAGCUGGAGCAGGCUGCUUGGCCUUAAGCCCCAGCACGAGGAGGCCUCCCUCCUACCAGGUCAGUAGAGUUGCUCCAAAUUGUGUCCUGCCUGGCUGCAGGGUUUGCAGACAUCGCUACGGAGAAGUCAGCAAGGGAGACAGGUAAUGACUGUCUUCAGAAUGAAUUGGGUCCUCACAGCAAUCCCUGGAUGCCUUCCAAAAAGGUUGGGUAUCCGAGGCUAAGAGGAGGUCUGAUCUUUGAUUUGGUGUCAUUAAAUCCAGGGCAAUUCCAAAAAGUGCCUGGAGUCUCUGCUCUGAUACCCCAAAAAGGGAAAUGAUUUUAAAUAUUGAGGACCCUGCACCAAGG